GUGCUUGCUUCGGCAGCACAUACACCAAAAUUGGAGCAAUACAGAGAAGAUUAGCAUGGCCCCUGCACAAGGAUGACAUGCAAAUUCGUGAAGCAUUCCAUACUUUU
Small nuclear RNA from Ailuropoda melanoleuca (giant panda), 107 nucleotides. NCBI's taxonomy places the organism in Eukaryota, Metazoa, Chordata, Mammalia, Carnivora, Ursidae. The record is from Ensembl.